Molecule: non-coding RNA, 37 nt
Filed under: Candidatus Parepulonipiscium sp. PG-Nuni2H_MBin01
Lineage: Bacteria; Bacillati; Bacillota; Clostridia; Lachnospirales; Lachnospiraceae
Source: RNAcentral
GUCUGAAAUACCUAUCCACUACAAUAAGGAUUGAAAC